AUUGAACGCUGGCGGCAUGCCUUACACAUGCAAGUCGAACGGCAGCGGACCUUCGGGUGCCGGCGAGUGGCGAACGGGUGAGUAAUAUAUCGGAACGUACCUUUCAGUGGGGGAUAACGUAGCGAAAGUUACGCUAAUACCGCAUAUUCUGUGAGCAGGAAAGCAGGGGAUCGCAAGACCUUGCGCUGAUUGAGCGGCCGAUAUCAGAUUAGCUAGUUGGUGAGGUAAAGUCUCACCAAGGCGACGAUCUGUAGCGGGUCUGAGAGGAUGAUCCGCCACACUGGAACUGAGACACGGUCCAGACUCCUACGGGAGGCAGCAGUGGGGAAUUUUGGACAAUGGGCGGCAAGCCUGAUCCAGCCAUGCCGCGUGAGUGAAGAAGG
Molecule: ribosomal RNA, 383 nt
Filed under: uncultured bacterium
Lineage: Bacteria
Description: bacterial SSU rRNA
Rfam family: Bacterial small subunit ribosomal RNA
Source: RNAcentral